Molecule: ribosomal RNA, 659 nt
Filed under: Clerinae cf. Phaeocyclotomus sp. G0159
Lineage: Eukaryota; Metazoa; Arthropoda; Insecta; Coleoptera; Cleridae
Description: partial 28S large subunit ribosomal RNA
Rfam family: Eukaryotic large subunit ribosomal RNA
Source: RNAcentral
GAAACACGGACCAAGGAGUCUAGCAUGUGCGCGAGUCAUUGGGAAUCACUAAACCUAAAGGCGCAAUGAAAGUGAAGGCCCGCCUAGCGCGGGCCGAGGGAAGAUGGGCGGUCACGGUUUCCGUGCCGCUCCGCACUCCCGGGGCGUCUCAUUCUCAUUGCGAGAAGAGGCGCACCAAGAGCGUACACGCUGGGACCCGAAAGAUGGUGAACUAUGCCUGGUCAGGACGAAGUCAGGGGAAACCCUGAUGGAGGUCCGUAGCGAUUCUGACGUGCAAAUCGAUCGUCGGAACUGGGUAUAGGGGCGAAAGACUAAUCGAACCAUCUAGUAGCUGGUUCCCUCCGAAGUUUCCCUCAGGAUAGCUGGCGCUCGUCGCCUACGAGUCUCAUCCGGUAAAGCGAAUGAUUAGAGGCAUUGGGGUCGAAACGGCCUCAACCUAUUCUCAAACUUUAAAUGGGUGAGAUCUCCGGCUUGCUCGAACUUAUGAAGCCGCGAGACACGGAUCAGAGUGCCAAGUGGGCCAUUUUUGGUAAGCAGAACUGGCGCUGUGGGAUGAACCAAACGCCGAGUUAAAGCGCCUAAAUCGACGCUUAUGGGAUACCAUGAAAGGCGUUGGUAACUUAAGACAGCAGGACGGUGGCCAUGGAAGUCGGAAUCCG